This 468-nucleotide ribosomal RNA is filed under the name uncultured bacterium. Its description in RNAcentral is "partial 16S ribosomal RNA". It matches the Rfam family "Bacterial small subunit ribosomal RNA", at positions 28 to 507 of the family's 1533-position model. The record is from RNAcentral.
GACGAACGCUGGCGGCGUGCUUAACACAUGCAAGUCGAACGGAAAGGCCCUGCUUUUGUGGGGUGCUCGAGUGGCGAACGGGUGAGUAACACGUGAGUAACCUGCCCUUGACUUUGUGAUAACUUCAGGAAACUGGGGCAAAUACCGGAUAGGCUCUCCUGCUGCAUGGUGGGGGUGGGAAAUUUUCGGCGGUUGGGGAUGGACUCGCGGCUUAUCAGCUUGUUGGUGGGGUAGUGGCUUACCAAGGCUUUGACGGGUAGCCGGCCUGAGAGGGUGACCGGCCACAUUGGGACUGAGAUACGGCCCAGACUCCUACGGGAGGCAGCAGUGGGGAAUAUUGCACAAUGGGCGGAAGCCUGAUGCAGCAACGCCGCGUGCGGGAUGACGGCCUUCGGGUUGUAAACCGCUUUCGCCUGUGACGAAGCGUGAGUGACGGUAAUGGGUAAAGAAGCACCGGCUAACUACGUG